AGAUUGAACGCUGGCGGCAUGCCUUACACAUGCAAGUCGAACGGUAGAGUAGCAAUACUUGAGAGUGGCGAACGGGUGAGUAAUAUAUCGGAACGUGCCCAGUCGUGGGGGAUAACGUAGAGAAAUUUACGCUAAUACCGCAUACGAUCUAAGGAUGAAAGCGGGGGGACCGUAAGGCCUCGCGCGAUUGGAGCGGCUGAUAUCAGAUUAGGUUGUUGGUGAGGUAAAAGCUCACCAAGCCGACGAUCUGUAGCUGGUUUGAGAGAACGACCAGCCACACUGGGACUGAGACACGGCCCAGACUCCUACGGGAGCAGCAGUGGGAAUUUGGACAAUGGGCGAAAGCCUGAUCCAGCAAUGCCGCGUGCAGGAAGAAGGCCUUCGGGUUGUAAACUGCUUUUGUACGGAACGAAACGGUCUGACUUUAAUACAGUGGCUAAUGAACGGUACCGUAAGAAUAAGACACCGCUAACUACGUGCCAGCAGCCGCGUAAUCGU
Molecule: ribosomal RNA, 498 nt
Filed under: uncultured soil bacterium
Lineage: Bacteria
Description: bacterial SSU rRNA
Rfam family: Bacterial small subunit ribosomal RNA
Source: RNAcentral